RNAcentral lists this ribosomal RNA (253 nucleotides) under uncultured bacterium. RNAcentral's name for it is "partial 16S ribosomal RNA". It matches the Rfam family "Bacterial small subunit ribosomal RNA", at positions 524 to 776 of the family's 1533-position model. The record is from RNAcentral.
UACGUAGGGGGCAAGCGUUGUCCGGAAUUAUUUGGCGUAAAGCGCGUGUAGGCGGCCAGAAAAGUCCGCUGUGAAAACUCGAGGCUCAACUUCGAGCUGUCGGUGGAAACUUUCUGGCUAGAGUCCGGAAGAGGAGAAUGGAAUUCCUGGUGUAGCGGUGAAAUGCGCAGAUAUCAGGAAGAACACCCGUGGCGAAGGCGGUUCUCUGGGACGGUACUGACGCUGAGACGCGAAAGCGUGGGGAGCAAACAGG